This 1110-nucleotide ribosomal RNA is filed under the name Triticum aestivum (bread wheat). RNAcentral describes it as "partial small subunit ribosomal RNA". The record is from RNAcentral. Lineage: Eukaryota; Viridiplantae; Streptophyta; Magnoliopsida; Poales; Poaceae.
CAAAGUUUGGUUGCUGGGAUACAAACUUUCAAGAGGGGAUGUAUUUGGCGAGUGGGCACUGGCUCACAGAUUAACAUUUGGGAUGAUCCAUGGCUCCCAUCAAGUCCAACAAGGAAGAUUAUCACCCCUAGAGGUGGAAUCAUGUUGUCAAAACUGCAAGAGAUAAUUGACCCUCAUACGGGUCAGUGGGACGAGGCACUAAUUCAGAGCGUGUUCUCACCAGUAGAUGUACGCAGAAUACUACAAAUUCCACUACAUGUUCAAGCACUAGAAGAUUUUGUGGCAUGGCACUAUACAAAGUGUGGAACCUUCUCAGUACGCUCGGCAUAUCACUUAAAAUUUGAUCACCAGUUUGGUCGCCAGUAUGCAAAUUCGAACAGUCCGGGAAGUGCUCAACUUAGCGGGGUUUGGAAGGAACCAUGGCAUCUUCGUUUACCGGGAAAGAUCAAGCACUUUGGUUGGAAAGUACUUAAGGGAGUACUUCCAUGCUACAGUGUACUCGCGGGCAGACACAUACCCUUGAUCCCGCAAUGCCCGAUAUGCAAAGUUGGCUUGGAAGACAUUCAACAUUGUCUGUUCACAUGUGAUAGAGCAACGCAAGUGUGGUCAUCACUAGGGUUAACUGAGGAGAUCGACAGAGCAGUUGUGCAGGACCGAUCCGGGUCUAUCACUUUGGACAUUCUGAUCCGCCUGCAUAUGACUACACAUGAUAUUCCCACUGCCGAGCUCAUCCUGGUGGCCAUGUGGUUUAUAUGGUGGCAAAGGAGGCAAAUUGCGAAGGGGGAGACUGUCCCAACUCCAGAGCAAUCAGCAAUCUCAAUUCAGGUACUUGCUACCAAUUUUGUCCGUGUAAAUACUCCAAACCAGCCCAUCCGCAAGAAUGAUCAAGUGUGGAAGAAACCAAGUAGGGGAGUUCCUGUGGUGGCAGAGUGCUCCCUCUUGGCAAUGGAGUUUGCACGUAUUAGCUAUGAGUUCUGUAGCAGAGAGGCAAAUAUGCUAGCGGAUGGAUUAGCAAAGCAUUGUUUUAGCAAUAGUACUUCUGAGUUUUGGGAGACUUUCGUCCCUGAUUUUAUUCUUCACAACUAUGUAAAUGACCUUGCUAUUAUCUGA